UUCUAAGUAAGACGGAGGUAUGAACGCAGGGAUGAGAGGUUCAGGCGAGACAAGGCUCAAAGCGAGCAGAAAAGAUGGGCAUGUGGCUGAGACCGGCUCACCAUGGCAAUUGGUUGUCUGCUGUGGAACACAGUCUUAUAGUCAACGUUAAUGUGACUGGCACAUUCCGAACAAGGGGGAAGCAUAGUUAGAAUUGGACGAGUUCGGUUGUGUUUACUUCUGCAGCAGCAUACUGAGUACAUGGAAGGAAGAAGAGACCAGAGAUCGGAAGCUAAUACACUGGCCUAGUCCACCAUCGAAAGUCGAAGAAUGCAUAAUGAAAGGAAAAGACACAAAUGACUGUGCCAAUUACGUUCGGGUUUUGCAUCACUACAACAGGACACACCUUCUGACCUGUGCUACUGGCGCCUUCGAUCCACUUUGUGCCUUCAUCAGAGUUGGGUACCAUUCAGAGCAGAGCAAGAGAGACCAAAACCUAAUGUGAGUUACAAAAAAAUGAGACAGCGAUGGCUAUAGAAGGAGUGACCUGGAGCUACUGGAAUGCUCCUUUACCUCCCACAUCCAAUGUAUGUGCUUCACAGAAAAACAGUAGCAACAACUUCACAAAAUACAACAGUUAAAAUUACAAAGCCCAUUCAUCCAGGGGUGCUAGAAGGCAGGAAGAAG
This is a long non-coding RNA of Mesocricetus auratus (golden hamster), 666 nucleotides long. RefSeq lists it as uncharacterized. The transcript has 4 exons. The record is from RefSeq and is a predicted model, not a curated record. Lineage: Eukaryota; Metazoa; Chordata; Mammalia; Rodentia; Cricetidae.